RNAcentral lists this ribosomal RNA (406 nucleotides) under uncultured bacterium. RNAcentral's name for it is "partial 16S ribosomal RNA". It matches the Rfam family "Bacterial small subunit ribosomal RNA", at positions 30 to 526 of the family's 1533-position model. The record is from RNAcentral.
AUUGAACGCUGGCGGCAGGCCUAACACAUGCCAGUCGAGCGCGCGGCGGACGGGUGAGUAAUGUCUGGGGAUCUGCCCGAUAGAGGGUGAUAACUACUGGAAACGGUGUCUAAUACCGCAUACUAUCGGAUGAACCCCUAUGGGAUUAGCUAGUAGUUGGGGUAAAGGCUCACCUCGGCGACGAUCUCUAGCUGGUCUGAGAGGAUGAUCAGCCACACUGGUACUGAGACACGGCCCAGACUCCUACGGGAGGCAGAAGUGGGGAAGAUUGCAAAAUGGGCGCAAGCCUGAGGCAGCCAGGCCGAGUGUAUGAAGAAGGCCUUAGGGUUGUAAAGUACUUUCAGCGGGGAGGCGUUACCCGCAGAAGAAGCACCGGCUAACUCCGUGCCAGCAGCCGCGGUAAGAC